UCCGGCUUAACACCGGCAGUCUCCUCAGAGUGCCCAACUUAAUGAUGGCAACUAAGAAUAAGGGUUGCGCUCGUUGCCGGACUUAACCGAACAUUUCACAACACGAGCUGACGACAGCCAUGCAGCACCUAUCCCACUGUCCCCGAAGGGAAAGCUCCAUCUCUGGAGUUGUCAGUGAAUGUUAAGGCCAGGUAAGGUUCUGCGCGUUGCUUCGAAUUAAACCACAUACUCCACCGCUUGUGCGGGCCCCCGUCAAUUCCUUUGAGUUUUAGCCUUGCGACCGUACUCCCCAGGCGGAUUACUUAAUGCGUGAGCUCCGGUACCCAAAGGGUUAACACUUCGGACACCUAGUAAUCAUCGUUUACGGCGUGGACUAC
This 377-nucleotide unclassified non-coding RNA is filed under the name uncultured Oligoflexaceae bacterium. RNAcentral's name for it is "contains 16S-23S intergenic spacer region". Lineage: Bacteria; Pseudomonadati; Bdellovibrionota; Oligoflexia; Oligoflexales; Oligoflexaceae. The record is from RNAcentral.